UUAACUUUAAUAUCAAAAAUUCCAAAAUAGGGGGCUGGCCUGGUGGCAUAGCAGUUAAGUUCACGUGCUCAGCUUUGGCAGUGCAUGGUUCAUGGGUUUGGAUCCUGGGCUCAGACCUACACACUGCUCAUCAAGCCAUUCUGUGGCAGCGUCCCACUUAGAAAAUAGAGGAAGAUUGGUAUAGAGGUUAGCUCAGGAACACUCCUACUGAAGCAAAAAGAGGAAGAUUGGCAAUAGGUGUUGCCUCGGGGCCAAUCUUCCUCACACAAAAAAUUCCAAAAUAAUAGUCCAAGGUUGGCUAUGAAUCUGUUAUUUAAAAAGUGUGUAACUAAUGUGAAUGUGCUAUUUAAAAAGUAAAGUGUUUAAAAAGUGGGUAAAUUAGAAAUUGAAUAAUCAAACAUCUUUUUCAGUACCUUCCCUGUUUUAAUCAUCAGGCCAAAAUUACAGUAUUUUUGCACUGUAAGGUUAAAGUAUAACGUUAAUCUGAUGAGUAGUUCCUGGCUGAGCUGCCUGUGACACCUUGGAGCAGUGGUUCUUAACCUGUUAUGUUAGAGUAUCAUGAUCAGGAAUAUCAGCCCUGAGCUAACAUCUGCUGCCAAUCCUCCUCUUUUCACUGAAGAAGACUGGCCCUGAGCUAACAUCCAUGCCCAUCUUCCUCUACUUUAUACGUGGGAUGGCUACCACAGCAUGGUUUGCCAAGCGGUGCCAUGUCCGCACCUGGGAUCCGAACCCGCGAACCCUGGGCCACCUAAGCUGAAUGUGCGCACUUAACCGCUGCGCCACUGCACCGGCCUCUGGCAGGUUUAAUUAGUAGUUUUUCACAGAUCGCUUGCUCUGAGGGGAAGCCAGCCUCCAUGUUGUGAAGCUAUUUAAGUAGCCCUGUGGAGAAGAAAGGACACCCCCUGCCAAGAACCAGCAUCAUUUUACCUGCAAUGUGAGUGAGCCAUCUUGGAAUGCAUCCUCUAGCUCUCCCCAAGUCUGUGAUGACUGCAGCCCAGCCAACAUCUUGGUCGUGAUUUCAUGGGAGGCAGAACUGCUCAGUUAAGCCACUCCUGAAUUCCCAACCCACAGAAACCGUG
This 1079-nucleotide long non-coding RNA is filed under the name Equus asinus (donkey). RNAcentral describes it as "lncRNA (ENSEASG00005036883.1)". The record is from RNAcentral. Lineage: Eukaryota; Metazoa; Chordata; Mammalia; Perissodactyla; Equidae.